This 506-nucleotide ribosomal RNA is filed under the name uncultured bacterium. Its description in RNAcentral is "partial 16S ribosomal RNA". It matches the Rfam family "Bacterial small subunit ribosomal RNA", at positions 28 to 523 of the family's 1533-position model. The record is from RNAcentral.
GAUGAACGCUAGCUACAGGCUUAACACAUGCAAGUCGAGGGGUAACGAGAGGAAAGCUUGCUUUCCUUGUCGACGACCGGCGCACGGGUGAGUAACGCGUAUCCAACCUGCCCCCAACUAGGGAAUAACCUUGCGAAAGUAAGACUAAUACCCUAUAAUUUCCUCAGAUGUCAUCUGACGAGGAAUAAAGAUUUAUCGGUUGUGGAUGGGGAUGCGUCUGAUUAGCUUGUUGGCGGGGUAACGGCCCACCAAGGCAACGAUCAGUAGGGGUUCUGAGAGGAAGGUCCCCAACAUUGGAACUGAGACACGGUCCAAACGCCUACGGGAGGCAGCAGUGAGGAAUAUUGGUCAAUGGGCGGAAGCCUGAACCAGCCAAGUAGCGUGCAGGAUGACGGCCCUAUGGGUUGUAAACUGCUUUUAUACAGGAAUAAAGUUAGCCACGUGUGGUUAUUUGUAGGUACUGUAUGAAUAAGGACCGGCUAAUUCCGUGCCAGCAGCCGCCGUAA